AGCUGGAUACAAGUUGCGUGGGCUACCUUUGGCUAUGCCAUAAGACAUGAGAGGGCAUAUCUAAGAAAGACGCUUGAGACAAAGGCCAACGAUUGAGGGUUGCCCUACUCGGGCAAAGCAAAGGCCAAGUGCACAUGCAUGAGGCAAUGUCAAGCUUGAGGAUAGGACUGUGCAUGCGAUGGCAAUGCCCAGGCCAAGGCAAGGGACGAGUAUGUUCGUAGCCA
RNAcentral lists this long non-coding RNA (224 nucleotides) under Capsicum annuum. RNAcentral's name for it is "long non-coding RNA (CANN_LNC016131)". Lineage: Eukaryota; Viridiplantae; Streptophyta; Magnoliopsida; Solanales; Solanaceae. The record is from RNAcentral.